GUGAGGAAUAUUGGUCAAUGGGCGGGAGCCUGAACCAGCCAAGUCGCGUGAAGGAAGAAUGAUCUAUGGUUCGUAAACUUCUUUUGCAGGGGAAUAAAGUGCAGGACGUGUCCUGUUUUGUAUGUACCCUGAGAAUAAGGAUCGGCUAACUCCGUGCCAGCAGUCGCGGUAAUACGGAGGAUCCGAGCGUUAUCCGGAUUUAUUGGGUUUAAAGGGUGCGUAGGUGGUUUGAUAAGUCAGCGGUGAAAGUUUGCAGCUUAACUGUAAAAAUGCCGUUGAAACUGUCGGACUUGAGUGUAAAUGAGGUAGGCGGAAUGCGUGGUGUAGCGGUGAAAUGCAUAGAUAUCACGCAGAACUCCGAUUGCGAAGGCAGCUUACUAAGCUACAACUGACACUGAAGCACGAAAGCGUGGGGAUCAAACAGGAUUAGAAACCCCGGUAGUCC
RNAcentral lists this ribosomal RNA (445 nucleotides) under uncultured bacterium. RNAcentral describes it as "partial 16S ribosomal RNA". It matches the Rfam family "Bacterial small subunit ribosomal RNA", at positions 354 to 796 of the family's 1533-position model. The record is from RNAcentral.